UGGUCUCAGUCGUCCGCGACGUUCUGUCCGCGAUACGAUUCGGCGUCAACGUGUCGUGCUCUGGACCCCACCGGUUGCAGCAAGUCGAUAUCUACGCGCCGGUACAGUAACAAAAACCACCCCCCUCCCGAGGAAACCAGUGAUUAAUAAAAUAGACUCGUCAUCGGACAGUGGCAUUGUGCUCCAAAAUCUUAGACUUGAGUAAUUUACGAAUAUAUGACAUAAAUUUGGGACAGUCGCUGAUCGUGGAUGCACAUUAUAAUGAAUGAAUCAUUUAAACAGGUGACUUAGAUAUUAAGUUCCCGAAGGAGGAAAUUAUUAAUCGAUACAAAGGAUAGAUUUUUAUUUCAAACUACCAACGACGAUCACCACGCGGUAUAGAGCAGUGCGAGAGAAUUGCUUCGAAUCGUCUUGAGGAAUAUCUUCCCGGUGUCUUCUGUAAUGUUUAAAUGGUUCAGUAAUCAGUGACGAGCAUCGUUGCAGCGGACUCUUACCGUGUUGGAGCCGCGCCAAAAGAAGUCGCGUACACGGUUGCACCAUCGUUUCAGGUUCCGUGGUCACCACAUGGUCACCACAAUCCGGCCGUGACGUGCGGUUAAAUUUAGAGACUGCCAUCGGAGAAAAUUGACAGUUCCCGGAUUGAGCUAUCGACUGUGAUCAAACAAACGCUCAACGAAAGCCGUCAGGUGCGUCAGAACGCGACGCCGCGGUGGGCCGUUUUGCCUCGAUCGUGGAAUGAUCGACGCGAUAUCGAUCGUGCGCGAGUACUGCUACUCGACAGUCGAGCCGGCUCGAUGCGCGGCUAAGGAAAUCGCGACCGGCGAGGCAUCAAGCGGUAAUCGAUCAAGGUGCUAUCGCGCGAAAGCCGCAGUCAAGGGGCACAUGAUGAUGUAAGGUGCCUGGACACGGUGCUACGAAGACCGAAAUGACGCGCGAUAAAAGGCUAGUGCUGCUGCUGGGCCUGCUGAUGGCCUAUGGCCUCUUCGUGGCCGAAUGCCGAUAUCAUCAGCGCGAUGACGCGGCGAUGACGGGGACCGAGGCGAGACACCGACAUAGGCACAGGCACGAAUCCUCGAAUCGAAGGAAUCAUCACGACCUCGACAGGAGAUCCUGGCCGAGAGUCGACUAUGACGCGUAUGACGGAGAUUCCGAGGAUCCGAUCGACGAAGAAGAUUAUGACGUGCAAUCGUAUUACGAUCAUCUCAGAUCGCAUCAUCGAUCCGCGCAGAGGGGUUAUCACGGUCGAAAGUUUGAGCCGCGUUAUCCGGCCAGAUAUCACGAUGGACAUCGCGGAAGCUGGUUCGAUGAAGACUACGACAGGUAUAGAAUUCCGUCGCGAUAUAACACGAAGAAUUAUCGAUAUAAAUCCGGCAGGACCUAUCAUAAACCCGCGUAUUCGCGCAAUCACGACGUGUCGGAUUUCGAGAAUGUUUCGGAGGAUGAUUACGAUUACGAGAGGACGCACAGAUACAUCGAAAGUGACGAGGCUGAUAAACAUCACGAGUGGUGGAGAAACUCCAGGCGACACGCGUCCCUCAGGAAAGACAUGAGAAAUAGAAUGAAUGGUUAUCGUGGCGCAAAGAAGGACCGCUUGGAGGAUCGCGGAGGCAUCACCGAUCGUGCCGAUGUGUCUGGAUGGACGGAUGAUUGGAGAGUAAGAUUGAACAUCUCGGAGCCUAAAUAUCACUCCUCGAAGAACGAUAAGAAGAUAGAGGAAGAUGAAGAUUACGAGGAUCACGGUGGACUCGAGGAAGACGACAAAGACGAAGAAGAAGAUGACAUUUGGAAAAAUGCCGAUGAUGAAGACAACGAAGAUAACGAAGAGGAGGAAUUUGAUAAUGAUUUCUAUGAGAGCAAGGCCAAAUCACCCUUGAAGACCUAUGAAGACAUUAUCAGGAGACUCACGUCUGGCGAACCGACCACUCCGAGACCUACCGUCAAGAGGGAUUACCGCAACAUCGAAACAUUGAAUAAGCACGCGAAACGUGACAGUUACAAGAAUUUCAACGAACCGAGAAAUGUCUCCAAACCGGUGGAUCUCCUCAGAUUCAGUAACGCGUCUCGCAGCGCCAUGUCCAAUUAUUUCGUGAACAGACGGGCCGCGAAGAACUCGACCGUCAAAUCCGUUGGUUCGAUCGGACAUAAGCUCCCGAAGAACGCGACCGACGUGACGGUCAAGGGCAACGAUCGGCAAGAGAAAAAGAUCGCGGUCAGUACUAAGACCAAGAGCCUCGAGGAUUACGACGAAUAUCUGAAUGCUCCGGAUAACGAGAAGGAGGACGACCUCGCUAAAGCUGGUACUGAGGACGAUUCGAUCAUGCAAGCAGAUGUUAAUAAUGAUUAUACGGACGACGAAAACGGCGACGAGGACGAGACUACCCUCGCCACGUCGACGACCACCACGACCACGACCACGACGACCACGACGACUACGACGCCGAAACCGUCGAUCAAUCAACGCUACGAUUACAGGGACCAGAGAGCCUACGAAAGCGGCACCGGGGCACAGUACAACGAAUACCAAGCAAAAAACGACUAUCCACCGAUGUCUGCACACAGCAUACAUAAGUGGCAGUCGCUAGGCACUCGCGAGAGUGUCAAACAAACCAGGGGUAACAUGCAGCAACACACCAAAAAUGACCUCGAACGUGGCCGGCGUCAGCGUAGUGGAGAAGCUAUCGUUCUACAAUCAUACGGAAUGCCAAUGCGAGAAGAAGUCCCAGUACAACAUGAUAAACGAGAAACCCAUGGAUCAGAGAGUAUAUCGACACUCUUCGUCGCCUCCACAAAACAUAAAAAAACCACCGUUGAAAGAGCCAUGCCGAUGCCCAUCAGAAUUCACGCCGAAAAUCACGCUGGAAGGCACUUGUCAGUGUAAUUGCUUCGACAAGAAUCAAAAUUGUAUAAGGAUCAGACGCGGAAAGGGAUUUUUCUCCUUUACAGACAGAAUAUGCAUUCAGAAAAAUCGAUGUGCCAUGCCUAACUGCGAAUUCGGCGAGUACAUAAGUUUAUCAGGUAAAUGCCCAGAAAAAAGGGACACCUUCAACGCAAUGUCAGACUACCGCUCGAAUCUAAAACACCGAUUAAGGAGUUAAAAAAAUCGCGAUAAAUAUAUAUACCGAAU
RNAcentral lists this unclassified non-coding RNA (3124 nucleotides) under Camponotus floridanus (Florida carpenter ant). RNAcentral describes it as "uncharacterized LOC105257931, transcript variant X1". The record is from RNAcentral. Lineage: Eukaryota; Metazoa; Arthropoda; Insecta; Hymenoptera; Formicidae.